GUGAGGAAUAUUGGUCAAUGGGCGGGAGCCUGAACCAGCCAAGUCGCGUGAAGGAAGAAGGAUCUAUGGUUCGUAAACUUCUUUUGCAGGGGAAUAAAGUGCAGGACGUGUCCUGUUUUGUAUGUACCCUGAGAAUAAGGAUCGGCUAACUCCGUGCCAGCAGCCGCGGUAAUACGGAGGAUCCGAGCGUUAUCCGGAUUUAGUGGGUUUAAAGGGUGCGUAGGUGGUUUGAUAAGUCAGCGGUGAAAGUUUGCAGCUUAACUGUAAAAAUGCCGUUGAAACUGUCGGACUUGAGUGUAAAUGAGGUAGGCGGAAUGCGUGGUGUAGCGGUGAAAUGCAUAGAUAUCACGCAGAACUCCGAUUGCGAAGGCAGCUUACUAAGCUACAACUGACACUGAAGCACGAAAGCGUGGGGAUCAAACAGGAUUAGAAACCCCUGUAGUCC
This 445-nucleotide ribosomal RNA is filed under the name uncultured bacterium. Its description in RNAcentral is "partial 16S ribosomal RNA". It matches the Rfam family "Bacterial small subunit ribosomal RNA", at positions 354 to 796 of the family's 1533-position model. The record is from RNAcentral.